This is a long non-coding RNA of Cydia pomonella (codling moth), 1152 nucleotides long. RefSeq lists it as uncharacterized. The record is from RefSeq and is a predicted model, not a curated record. NCBI's taxonomy places the organism in Eukaryota, Metazoa, Arthropoda, Insecta, Lepidoptera, Tortricidae. The transcript is spliced from 2 exons.
GCCUUGCCCUCCUCAGACCCAGGCCAUACAAAUGAAUAAAAUAAUAAUUAAUAGUUUAAAAAUCACUAGAAGAACACUCUUUUAUAAAUGUGUUUCCGGAUCGUGUUCAAAGUCUAUUACGUGAGUUUGGGCACCAAAAAAAAAUACGUGUCCGUUAUUUUAGACUACUCUAUAACAUAUAUAAAUAUAAAUCAAAUCGGAACCAGACAGUUUGGUACCUUUCCUUUACCCCUAGUGUAAAUAAAUUCGAUUUCGAAACGUGACGUACGCGUUUGCGUUUAGUCUCAUUUUGUAUUGGAUUUAGAAAGAGCGCGCCAAGCGGGACGUUUUGGAAACUCAAAAUCCUAUACAAAAUGAGACUUAACGCAAACGCGUUCGUCACGUUAUGAUGUCGAUCAAAUUUACACUAGGGGUACAGGUCAGUUCUUCAAUGGAAUUCCGCUUGGCGCCCGUAGAAUGAAAUGAAGUAGAUUUAAAUACUUAUUUAAUAGCCCAACUCCCAUGUUUCAUGGUUUUGGGUUAAUUUUGACGCAUGUUCCUUUUUCGUUCGAUAGUAGUCAUUUUAAAAUUGUUACUGUGUAUAAUAAUCUGUCGUAUUUAUUUGUCAGACGACACACCAGCGCCGCCGGGCCCGUCCGGUUUCAGAGUGCCACGCCCGCCGCCCUCUGAAAGCAGUGAGUAUAUUUACCAUAUAGAUAAAUACGAGUAAAAAUUUUUUUACAGUACAUAUGGUGCUACUUUACCGCACUAGUGCGCAAAUUAGCAUAUUACGUUACUGUGUCAAACAUUUAAAGGUCCAUAUGUACUGUAAAACGUUGUACGAUACAUGUGGGAAUAGAUAAUUCGCAACUCGUGUCGAUUUAAAACACUCCCUUCGGUCGUGUUUUAAUUUAUCACCACUCGUUUCGAAUUUCCUAUUUUUCGCACUUGUAUCGUAAUGUACUAUUUUUUACAAAAGCUUUUAUUUAACUGCUCUAAAAAGAAGAAAAUAAAAUUUUCCUUUAAAAUUUUAAUCAUCAACUUACGAGUAUAACCUCAUUAUACACAAUUUAUAUGUUCAAGCUUGUCGGGGCAAAAGGGCAUUCCAUACAUUAAAUAAUAAAAUCAACAUGUUUUUUGAUUAAAUGAAUACUUUUGAAAAUAAUUGGCUAC